GCGAGUUACAACUCUCUAAAACCCUGUGAACGAUACCGAUACCGCUGCCUCGGCGGAUCAGCUCUGCUGCCCGUACGGACGCCCCGCAGACCACAAACUCUGAUUAUUAUUGUACUUCUGAGUUAAUAUCAAUAAGUCA
Molecule: unclassified non-coding RNA, 139 nt
Filed under: soil metagenome
Description: partial internal transcribed spacer 1
Source: RNAcentral